CAGCACCUCAAGUGGUCAGGAUGAUUAUUGGGCCUAAAGCAUCCGUAGCCGGCGCUGUAAGUUUUCGGUUAAAUCUGUACGCUCAACGUACAGGCUGCCGGGAAUACUGCAGCGCUAGGGAGUGGGAGAGGUAGACGGUACUCGGUAGGAAGGGGUAACAUCCUUUGAUCUAUUGAUGACCACCUGUGGCGAAGGCGGUCUACCAGAACACGUCCGACGGUGAGGGAUGAAAGCUGGGGGAGCAAACCGGAUUAGAUACCCGCGUAGUCC
RNAcentral lists this ribosomal RNA (270 nucleotides) under uncultured archaeon. RNAcentral describes it as "partial 16S ribosomal RNA". It matches the Rfam family "Archaeal small subunit ribosomal RNA", at positions 477 to 747 of the family's 1478-position model. The record is from RNAcentral.